RNAcentral lists this ribosomal RNA (498 nucleotides) under uncultured bacterium. RNAcentral describes it as "bacterial SSU rRNA". It matches the Rfam family "Bacterial small subunit ribosomal RNA", at positions 29 to 517 of the family's 1533-position model. The record is from RNAcentral.
AGUGAACGCUGGCGGCAGGCCUAAUACAUGCAAGUCGAACGGCAGCACAGCAGAGCUUGCUCUGUGGGUGGCGAGUGGCGGACGGGUGAGGAAUACAUGGGAAUCUGCCCAGUCGUGGGGGAUAACGUAGGGAAACUUACGCUAAUACCGCAUGCGCCCUUCGGGGGAAAGCCGGGGACCUUCGGGCCUGGCGCGAUUGGAUGAGCCCAUGUCGGAUUAGCUAGUUGGCGGGGUAAAGGCCCACCAAGGCGACGAUCCGUAGCUGGUCUGAGAGGAUGAUCAGCCACACUGGAACUGAGACACGGUCCAGACUCCUACGGGAGGCAGCAGUAGGGAAUAUUGGACAAUGGGCGCAAGCCUGAUCCAGCCAUGCCGCGUGAGUGAAGAAGGCCCUCGGUUGUAAGCUCUUUUGUCCGGAAAGAAAAGCGCCGGGUUAAUACCCUGGUGUCCUGACGGUACCGGAAGAAUAAGCACCGGCUAACUUCGUGCCAGCAGCCG